Long non-coding RNA from Photinus pyralis (common eastern firefly), 2398 nucleotides. RefSeq lists it as uncharacterized. The record is from RefSeq and is a predicted model, not a curated record. Lineage: Eukaryota; Metazoa; Arthropoda; Insecta; Coleoptera; Lampyridae. The transcript is spliced from 10 exons.
CGUGGCCGCCGUCUUUUUCAUCCAGCAACGGUUUUUUGGUCAAUUUCGGUGUCAAUUCUCUGUUAUAAUUGAAUUAAUCGAUUGCAUUUGAUUUUUAUGGUUCGCGUGUGUGUUUACCACUAUUUGGGAUAUACGUAGGGCGCAUCUGGAGAUCAGUGGCGUUAUUCGGGGAACCGAAGAUAAGCCUAGCCAAGCGCCAUGAUGGCCGCCUGCAGAACACGUCGCAUAUGGAGAUCGACAACAUCGUUCGGGGAGCCGAAGAUAAGCCAAGCUAAGCGCCAUCAUUACGGUCGUCAAGAUACGUGACGGAAUCUACCACACAAAUAUGCGCUGUCCUGACUGUCACUUUGAUAAUUUUUCUCAUCUCGGCAAUUUAUGAACCGCAUUCAAUGAAAUUCAAACUGGGCCCGAGAUCGUACUAAUUGGACACCCUGUAUAUGCAUCACCUGUUACUGAUGGUGGAGUAUAAACUGGCUAACAGAAUACUGAUCUACCACACAAAUAUGCGCUGCUUCACACGAGGACUUUGAUAAUUUUUCUCAUCUCGGCAGUUUAUGAACCGCAUUGAAUGAAAUUCAAACUGGAUCCGAGACCGUAGUAAUUGGACACCCUGUAUAUGAAUCACACUGUUGCGAGAGGUCAUCCGAUAUCGUAGAUACUAAUUGGACACCCUGUAUAUGAUCGUGAGGUGGAUAUAGAUGAGCGACGAGGGAGUGAGGCUGUGCAUGGUUUCGUCUCUACUUCGAUAAUUGGUUCACUCCUGGCAAGUCCGAAACAAUAAGGCUAUGGAUUCCAGAAGGGCAGCCUUAUAAAGGUAGGAUUUUUCCUUUUCUGCAUGGACUAAUUGCUUUUCUAUUAUGUGGGUCUAGCAGUGGGGGACGGGGGGAGGGAAUAGUGCGUAUCAACGACAGUUGAUCUUCCGAUUGUGUAAUUGUGAGUUGUGAUCUGGCAUUUUGGUGACGUAAAUUUGACUUUUCACAACGAUCUUUUUCGGGGCAUCAAUCCGUUUACUUCAUAUUCAAGUAUGACUAUGAUUUCAUAGCCAUGCCGGUUUUAUGCAGUAAACGGAUUUGCUUUGCGAAUCGGAUUAUGAAAAAUUAUUGGAGUCAAGUUUCCCGUUUCCAAUUCUGCUGGCUUUUACAUCUCACUUUAUUACAUUGAAGAUCCUCUGAAUGACUGAAGGUGAGUAAUUAAGUCAUUAUGUACAUGUUCGUUUAUUAGUUAGUAACAAUCAUUGGCGUUUUUGAGAUGAAAGAUAAAUUUACAUUAUAAUUAGAGAGAGACGAAAGAUGAUUUGUACUGUACUAAACGGACACGCUGUACACAAUUAGUUCUAAGAAGCGUGGUUGGUCUACUAAUCUCGUCCAUUGUUCACAGCGCUACUGAUGAGGAUUGGUCCAACAACUGCAAUUGAUCUGAUCGAUUCUAAGGGCGCUACAGAGCGGUUUGCCUGUGACCCCGGAACGUAAACAAACCGCGCGUAUUUCGUCCCUUUUGCGGUUAGUAGUGCAUCCUUGGAGAGACCGUAUUAAUAAGGCUAAGGAUUCGAGAAGGGCAGCCUUAUAAAGGUAGGAUUUUUCUUUUUUUGUGCAUGCUCUAUUGCAUCUGUAUUAUGUAUAUGUAACAGUGGGGGAAAGUGAAUAGUGUUCAGUGACUAAAUGAAGAUCAUCGUUUAAACAUUUCUUCGAAUGUGGUACUAAAUGAGUUGUGUCCAUAUUCUCAGCAUCUUGGUGAUGUGAAUUGAUCGCAAUUAUUCUUGGAGUAACUUUACAUAAAAGAAAAAGAACUAUUGCGGUCUGUUCUUGCGCACCCUAGGUGCUUUGAAGAUGGCCAUAACUCAUUUAUUAGACCAAAGGCUGGUUUUUCACAUGUCAGUUGAACUUUUCCAACAGUUGAUUCCCAUGUAAAAAAAGGAGUUAUAUUGGAUCAGUUUAACUGAAACAUGUAAAACCGGCUAUGAGAUCAAGAAGGUAAGUGAGUUGAGACAUGACAAGCUUAUUCGGUUUUUUUCUCAUCUUAAUUUUACGCGGAUAAAGAGUACAUUUUCAAUUAAUGCGCGACUAAGACUUAAGUGUCUCUUUGACGGAACAUGUUCAGGUUAAUUUAUUAAUCUUACUUUCUCCAAUUGUUCGCAGUGCCAGUGGCGGACCUACUGCAAAACGGAACGCGAACCUGGAUCUACACUCGUGAGGAUUUUCUCGACAACGCCAGUGAUGGAUCGCAUCCAAGUUCCCUUCAAUCGUAUUGAUUAAUCGCAUGGGCACAGUUCAAACAAACGAGUUCCUGAGUACAUCUACACUCGUGAGGAUUUUCUCUACAACUUCAGAUGAUGGAUCGAUAAUCAGUUCCUCAAAUUCUCUUCGAUCUUGUUGAUCUGGGCAUAGCUUAAAUAAACGAG